AGUGAACGCUGGCGGUAGGCCUAACACAUGCAAGUCGGACGGCAGCACAGUAAGAGCUUGCUCUUACGGGUGGCGAGUGGCGGACGGGUGAGGAAUACAUCGGAAUCUACUUUUUCGUGGGGGAUAACGUAGGGAAACUUACGCUAAUACCGCAUACGACCUACGGGUGAAAGCAGGGGAUCUUCGGACCUUGCGCGAUUGAAUGAGCCGAUGUCGGAUUAGCUAGUUGGCGGGGUAAAGGCCCACCAAGGCGACGAUCCGUAGCUGGUCUGAGAGGAUGAUCAGCCACACUGGAACUGAGACACGGUCCAGACUCCUACGGGAGGCAGCAGUGGGGAAUAUUGGACAAUGGGCGCAAGCCUGAUCCAGCCAUACCGCGUGGGUGAAGAAGGCCUUCAGGUUGUAAAGCCCUUUUGUUGGGAAAGAAAAGCAGCAGGUUAAUACCCCGCUGUUCUGACGGUACCCAAAGAAUAAGCACCGGCUAACUUCGUG
RNAcentral lists this ribosomal RNA (492 nucleotides) under uncultured bacterium. Its description in RNAcentral is "partial 16S ribosomal RNA". It matches the Rfam family "Bacterial small subunit ribosomal RNA", at positions 29 to 507 of the family's 1533-position model. The record is from RNAcentral.